UGGGGAAUAUUGCACAAUGGGCGCAAGCCUGAUGCAGCGACGCCGCGUGGGGGAUGACGGUCUUCGGGUUGUAAACUCCUUUCGCUAGGGACGAAGCUUUUUGUGACGGUAUCUCGAUAUGAAGCACCGGCUAAAUACGUUCCAGCAGCCGCGGUAAUACGUAGGGUGCGAGCGUUGUCCGGAAUUACUGUGCGUAAAGGGCGCGUAGGUGGUAUGUCGCGUCGUCUGUGAAAUUCCGGGGCUUAACUCCGGGCGUGCAGGCGAUACGGGCAUAACUUGAGUACUGUAGGGGUAACUGGAAUUCCUGGUGUAGCGGUGAAAUGCGCAGAUAUCAGGAGGAGCACCGAUGGCGAAGGCAGGUUACUGGGCAGUUACUGACGCUGAGGAGCGAAAGAAUGGGUAGCGAACAGG
RNAcentral lists this ribosomal RNA (411 nucleotides) under Actinomycetes bacterium. RNAcentral's name for it is "Actinobacteria bacterium partial 16S ribosomal RNA". It matches the Rfam family "Bacterial small subunit ribosomal RNA", at positions 355 to 776 of the family's 1533-position model. The record is from RNAcentral. Lineage: Bacteria; Bacillati; Actinomycetota; Actinomycetes.